Maylandia zebra (zebra mbuna) is the source of this 419-nucleotide non-coding RNA. Lineage: Eukaryota; Metazoa; Chordata; Actinopteri; Cichliformes; Cichlidae. The record is from RefSeq and is a predicted model, not a curated record.
UCUACCACCCUCGCUCUCUUUCCACUGCACUCGCUCCUUGUAUCAGGUGAUCGGGUUAAUUGGGAACCCACCUGCACAUUGAUUGCAGGGUGGCGCUAGCCUGUAUAAAGCUAAGCCGAUGUCUUGUUGGAUUAAUUCCUCCCGAGCUUCUGGUACGAUACAGCAGUAAAUGCUGGCGUACUGCGACGGAUUGAUCAGCAAGAGCCGAUUAUACGACAGCUACAGCGCAGCAGUCUGUUUAAUUCUGCCAUUGCGGAGAGAGGUGUUCGUGGUAUCUCCACCAAUGAGAGUAUAGUGCCUCCGGUCCUGGGGGUUCACUGCUGUACUCACCUCUCCAUGGUAAAUUGUCCAACCUAAAUUGGAAGAGUGGACUGCCUUCUCAGUUGCUGUUGUGAACUCCUCCUUGGUGGAGUCUGCUG